AUAUUUUGAAUUAAGUAUAUUCAUAAUAUGUUAUCAGACGAAUGUUGUUAAAGAUAUAGGUUGAUAUUUGUGAAGGGAAAGAGUUGCCUCUCUCCCAACAAACAUUGCACACAAGGUGGAUAUGGAUUUAAAAAGUGCCAUAAAACACUUAUUAUGAAUGAUCCUUCCGCAGGUUCACCUACGGAAA
This 187-nucleotide unclassified non-coding RNA is filed under the name uncultured fungus. RNAcentral describes it as "sequence contains ITS1". Lineage: Eukaryota; Fungi. The record is from RNAcentral.